AUCCUUUCUGUGGUGAACCACGUUGUGGGUUUACUGUUCUGUGGCAGUCGACCUCCUCUGUGGUGGUGUUCAACGUUUUCUGUGGUGGUUGAGUGGUGUUCAACCUUCUCUUGGUGGCCGUUGUUCUGGUUCUAGGCUGUCUUUUCUCUCUCGGUAAUCACUUUAUGGUGGCUGGGUCGCUGUGGGCACAUCGGCUCCGUCUGUGGUGGCGGCGAGGUGAUCGGCGACGUCUGUUGCUGUUUGUGCUAGGUGCUGGGCAGGUAUCAGUCUGUCGAGUCUUUAUGCUUGGUUGUUUACCUUUUCUUUUACUCUUUAUCGACCCACUUACUCUGUCCAUGGGCUUUUCUCUUAUUUGUCUUGAGUGCUUGGGCCUCUUUUUCAUUCGGAAUUGGAACUAAAUUGAUUUGGGUUUGCUGUUAUUUUUUUUAACUGUUUGGGCUGAUUUUUUAGUGGGCUUUCAUCAUGUCUAUUGAAAAUACUAUAGUAAGAUUUACUGGAAAGAAUUUUUCUCCGUGGGCAUUUAAAUUUAAAAUGUUCUUGAAAGGGAAAGAAUUAUCCAAUCAUAUUGAUAGCUCUAUUCGAGUUCCCAUUAAUGAAAAGGAAUUUGCCCAAUGGGAGGUCAAGGAUGCUAAGGUGAUCUCCUAUCUAUUGGCGACGAUUGAGCCCUAUCUUGUCACCAAUCUUCACUGUUUUACUACAGUUCAAGCUAUGUGGGACUACCUGCAUCGUAUUUAUCACCAAGACCACAGUGCUUGGAAAUUCCAAUUAGAGUUGGAAAUUAGCAAUUACACUCAAGGUAAUUUGACCAUUGAGUAAUUUUAUUCUGGUUUUAUUAAUCUUUGGAGCGAGUAUUCUGCUAUUGUUCAUGCUAAGGUUCCACCGCGGCACUUGCGGCUCUUCACGCGGUUCAUGCUAAGAGUCAAUGCAAUCAGUUUUUUAUGGAACUUCGACCUGAAUUUGAGCCUGUUCGAGCCGAUUUAUUGAACCGUAAUCCGGUUCCUUCCUUGGAUAUUUGCUUGGGAGAUUUAUUGCGUGAAGAACAGCGGUCAUCCACUCAGAUGGGUAUGACUUCUGAUAAGGUCUUUUCUGAGGCUGUGAAUGUAGCCUAUGCAACUCAAGGGAGAGGGAGGAACAAGUUGCAGUGUUUCAGUUGCAAGGAGUUAGGUCAUAUUGCUCGCAACUGUCUGAAGAAAGUUUGUAACUACUGCAAGAAGGAGGGCCAUAUCAUCAAAGACUAUCAAGUGCGGCCUCAGAAUCGCCAAUCCCAAGACUUUCAAGCUGUUGUUCAGCCUUCAUCUUCUUCUGCGCCCCCCAUUGUGAGCUCUAAUUCAUCUGUUCUCACACCUGCCAUGGUCCAACAGAUGAUUGUGUCUGCUUUUACAGCUUUAGGCCUGCAAGGAUCAGGUAUUGGGGACGGUGAUCGUGAAGGGUCCUAAAUUCAGUACUUGUAUCAAAAUCUUACACUCCGACUCAGGGGGAAUAUAUGUCUCAUUCCUUUCAGACUUAUCUUCAGCAAAAAUGAAUCAUUUCUCAGCGUUCUUGUCCUUAUACCCCUCAACAAAAUGGAGUUGCUGAGCAUAAGAAUCCUCAUCUCUUAGAUGUUGUUCUUACUUUAUUGAUUGAUUCUUCUGUACCUUCUAAGUUCUAGGUAGAAGCUUUAUCUACUGCUGUUUAUUUGAUCAAUCGUUUGCCUACUGCCACUCUAAAUUAUGAUUCUCCAUAUUUUCGAUUAUUUGGCAUAUCUCUUGAGUAUCAAUCCUUUCAUACUUUUGGUGUGUUUGUUUUGUUCAUCUGCCACCUGUUGAUCGUCACAAGCUUGCUGCCCAGUCUGUCACGUGUGCUUUUAUGGGAUAUAGCCCUACUCAGAAAGGAUUUAUUUGUUAUGAUGCUCAUGCAAACAAAUUUUGGAUCUCCCGAAAUGUGAUUUUCUUCGAAAUCAAUAUUUCUUUCAGUCUCAGGUUAUUUCUGAUUCUCCUAUUACUCUUUUACCAGCUUUUGAUGAUGUGUCUUCUUUUAUUGAGCGAUUUAGACCAGGUUUAGUGUAUCAUAGAAUUCCUCCUUCAACGCCUCUUCCAGACACUGCUCUGUCAUCUGAUUAUGCGGUUCCUAUACCUCGGCGCUCCACCCGGGUUAUACAUCCACUAUAUAGAUAUAAGGCCCGUCUCGUGGCAUUUGGGAACCGAUAGGAGUAUGGUAUUGAUUAUGAAGAGACAUUUGCACCUGUUGCCAAAAUGACUACUGUACAGACUAUCUUGGCCAUUGCUGCGUCGUAGGGGUGGUCUCUCCGACAGAUGGACAUGAAUAAUGCUUUUUUACAUGGGGAUUUGAAAGAAGAAAUAUAUAUG
This is an RNA transcript of Juglans microcarpa x Juglans regia, 2345 nucleotides long. RefSeq lists it as uncharacterized. Lineage: Eukaryota; Viridiplantae; Streptophyta; Magnoliopsida; Fagales; Juglandaceae. The record is from RefSeq and is a predicted model, not a curated record. The transcript is spliced from 4 exons.